CAAAAUCGACAACUCUUGGAUCUUUUUUUCAACGAAAAGCGGAUGACUGUAUUUUUGCGAGAGCAUUUUUUCAUUCAUCAACUUACGACCAGGUGUUGGAUUGUUGUUCCUCUAAUUGCACGAUUCGUGCGAUCAUUAAUCGACGCAGAGAUCUCCGUUUCGUUUCGCACGCCACUGCGCGGUACUCGCGAUUUUGUCAACAGGAUUUCAUCCGUCACUCGAGAGACACGACCAGACGAAAAAUAUAAUUUUGCCAUCAGAUCUUCGGUCUCUCGACUACUGCACGCUAUCCGAUGCUUUCCGAAAGACGAGCGCGCGACGGUGACCUCGGAGAUUCACUUGGAUCUUCCGACUCGGGGCACAUUUGGAAAUGCAAGGUGCAAAUUCAUCGCAUUCGUCUUAAUUACGAAGUUGGGAGGAAAAAAUAAGUGGAGACGAGAGAAAUGAAACGUUUGAGGAAAACAAUUCGGUGUGCAAGCAAUUGGAAAUACUCCACGAAAUUUUAGCCCUGCGUGAUUCGAUUCGUUGCGACAUCGGUUGCGGUUGGAAAAAUCGAUUAGUACGUAACGCCCAUUACAGAGACUUGUAAAAUAUUUGUUUUCCAGUUCCAGGCAAUGAUAAUAAUUGAAACUUGCUUUGGGCUACCGCUGGGGUUUCAGUCGACCACAGAUUACUGUAAUUAGAGGAUAAAAAAAUUAGUAUCCAUUCAAAAAGUCGAGUUAGUUUGUCAUUUGAAUCGCACGAACAAUCUUGGAUUCUAAUGAAAGACGUUGGAACACGAGACGAGAAAAAAAAAAAAGAUCAGGAUCUCUUACAUAGUGCAAAAUUACACUACACUUUUGAAGUUGAAUAUUAUAAAAGCAUGUAUUAUGCAUUGCGUAAUAAUAUCUAACCAAAGUUAACGUAAAAACUCGAUUCCUUCAUUAUUAUUGCACUGCUUUGCUGCUUUGAUAUCACAUUCUGCUGAACAAGCGUUAUUAUUUCAUCGAUUAUGUAUGGCGUUGUACUGUUGUUUAUUCAACGAGCUGUAUUAUAUUUUCAUUUCCUCGUUUAUAUUUCACGUUGACAUUGAAAUUCGCAUAGUUAUUUAAUUACCGUGUCUUCGAUAUUUCGGUAUUUAAUUAGUAUACCGCUUUAUAUUUCUCUCUCUCCAUCUCAAUGUUUGAUCAAUAUUCUUGAGGAAAAUUCCUCUUUUUUCCGGGGUGAUUUAUUUUCUCUCUCGUUGCACGUGGAAUUUUUUCUUUUUUUUUUUUCACCUGCAACGAAAAUUAAAGCGCACGCUUCGCGAUCGUUGAAAAUUAAAAAAGUGUAGAAUGACCAAUUUCUGAAAUCGAUUCACGUUUGGUCACUGGAAUCCCGCCAAAAACUAAUCUAAAAUUAGAACACAGACCGGUUGUUUUUAGUUGGAGCGGUAAUUGUUUAUUAUCCGUUUAAACUUUCUCCACGUAUAACCAAACCUGGGAAAUGUGAUGCGAUUAACAAUGCCAUAAAACCGGACAAGGAGACGCAUAUUAUUAUGCCUGCAUUAUAUUUUCAUCGUUAAGCGUACCGAACACGUACACGCUCAUACCGCCGGAACGUGGAGUGAAACGAGACUGGAUUACGAAUGUUCUUUAAAAUAUGAAGCUGUCGGACGAAUGCGCUACGAUACAUCGUAUUUCAAUUGGAUAAAUCUGGUGGCAAAAUAUACAUCAAAAGAACAUUCAAAUUCUUAUUAUCAGCCAAAAGACACGCGAUACAGUAACAUUGACGUCAGUGAUGGAAAAGAAGAGAGAAAAGCAGGGUGUGAUUUCUUUCAAGUUCAUUCUUCUCUCGAUUUUCAGAACUCGAGAACUUCUACCUUAUCAGUUGUACGAAUUUCGCAUUAAUUGAAUGCUUUCUCGCUGGAGAAUCAGGUUUCAAAAACUCGGAAGGAAAUCGGUUCCCUAAUCAUCCCCUUUUAAAAAGAAUUGAAAUGCCGACAGGCUACGCGUUACAAUUUUUGCUCCACAUUUGUCCUACAUAGAGUCAGGAAAAAAAGCCUCGUUAUAACGUCGAGUGAUCCACGAAGUUAUUCCUUGGAAGAUCUUUUCGAGUGUCACGCUGAUUUGCAUCGAGUAUACAGUCGUUCCAUCAUAUUGAGCGGUGCGAGUCAAGCGAUAAACCCCGAUCACCUUGAUCCUUGGACAAUAUAUGGAAGAUCUGGAAGAUGGUGGGUAAAAAUGAAGUACGAGAAAACACAUCGAGAUAACCGGGAGCAAAAAAUUACAAUUAUGUAAACGUCUCGACAACGUGCUAUUCAAUGCUUCGGUUCACCUCAAGUAUUAGAAUUUUCUGAGCAUAGAAUUUAUUUCUAUUCUUCAUGCCGGUCAGAUGACUCGAAGCCGAAGCAUUUCGAAUUUGCGAACGAAUGUUAAUUAAUGGUAAUUUUGUGUUCACGGAUCUUCCAACGAAGAGGACAUAAAAAAGAAACAUGGUAGAAGAAAUUGACGCGAGAAUCGAUUUUUUCCCAGUUAUGUUAAGCGACAAAAAAAAAAAAGAAGGUAUUUGAGAUUUGAUUAAUCUAAUUCGGGACCGAGAUUAUGAAGAAAAAAAAGACUAAAAAACAUCACACCAAUCCUGAUAAAUAUGACUACUUCGCUGUGCUUUUUUUACCACUCGUUUCACGUUUCGUUCAGUUACUUUUUUUUAUUCACUCUUUCACAAAGAACGAAAAAUGAGAAUUGAUCAACUCGCGACUCUGGAAAUACAAAAGACAGGUAUAAGAAAUUAAAACUCGGCGUUACAUUACUGUAUUCGACCACUCGUAUAUCUCACGUUGCUUACGUCAAACAACAAAUGAGUUGACGCAGAUGAUUCAAAAAUUAAAAUAAUAAUUACAAUGGAAACGAUUCAAUAAAAAAUUCUCGUACGACAAUUAACGAAAUAAUAUUUAUUUCUCGUUUUACAAUGAGCGAGUGUAAAAACUUCACGUACAGGUAUAUCUAUGGGUAACAUAUAAUCAUGUUCUAACGAGU
Athalia rosae (coleseed sawfly) is the source of this 2996-nucleotide long non-coding RNA. RefSeq lists it as uncharacterized. The record is from RefSeq and is a predicted model, not a curated record. The transcript is spliced from 2 exons. NCBI's taxonomy places the organism in Eukaryota, Metazoa, Arthropoda, Insecta, Hymenoptera, Athaliidae.